Long non-coding RNA from Ornithorhynchus anatinus (platypus), 288 nucleotides. RefSeq lists it as uncharacterized. The record is from RefSeq and is a predicted model, not a curated record. The transcript has 3 exons. NCBI's taxonomy places the organism in Eukaryota, Metazoa, Chordata, Mammalia, Monotremata, Ornithorhynchidae.
CAUUCCCUGUUCCUGGUUAGCUGAGGAACCCCUGGCCAAGGGGUGCAAACCAGCCUGCCUGCUCACCCACUGCCAAAGCAGAAUGCUACCCCCACUUUCCUGCCAGACUCUUUCAUUUUCCACGAUCGCCUCCUCGCUCCACCACUGCCUGACACCUACAAGAGGGUCAACAACUAUGGUGUCUUUGGGGAUGUUUUUUGGACAGAACUGAGUCUUGUUCACAAUGAGAGUAUAUGUGUGGUGUUCCUGACUCCAGUGACGCUCCAGUUCAGGCAAGAAAAGCAGGAG